AAUACGUUCCCCGGGCCCUUGUUACACAACCGCCCCGUCAAGCCAUGGGAGCCGGAGGUACCUGAAGUCGAUGACCGUAAGGAGUCGCCCAAGGUAAAUUCGGUGACUGGGGCU
RNAcentral lists this ribosomal RNA (114 nucleotides) under uncultured bacterium. RNAcentral describes it as "partial 16S ribosomal RNA". It matches the Rfam family "Bacterial small subunit ribosomal RNA", at positions 1365 to 1482 of the family's 1533-position model. The record is from RNAcentral.